This 427-nucleotide ribosomal RNA is filed under the name uncultured bacterium. Its description in RNAcentral is "partial 16S ribosomal RNA". It matches the Rfam family "Bacterial small subunit ribosomal RNA", at positions 355 to 774 of the family's 1533-position model. The record is from RNAcentral.
UGGGGAAUAUUGCACAAUGGGCGCAAGCCUGAUGCAGCCAUGCCGCGUGUAUGAAGAAGGCCUUCGGGUUGUAAAGUACUUUCAGCGGGGAGGAAGGUGUUGUGGUUAAUAACCUCAGCAAUUGACGUUACCCGCAGAAGAAGCACCGGCUAACUCCGUGCCAGCAGCCGCGGUAAUACGGAGGGUGCAAGCGUUAAUCGGAAUUACUGGGCGUAAAGCGCACGCAGGCGGUCUGUCAAGUCGGAUGUGAAAUCCCCGGGCUCAACCUGGGAACUGCAUCCGAAACUGGCAGGCUUGAGUCUUGUAGAGGGGGGUAGAAUUCCAGGUAUAGCGGUGAAAUGCGUAGAGAUCUGGAGGAAUACCGGUGGCGAAGGCGGCCCCCUGGACAAAGACUGACGCUCAGGUGCGAAAGCGUGGGGAGCAAACA